GACGAACUUUGGCGGCGUGCUUAACACAUGCAAGUCGAACGGAAAGGCCCUGCUUUUGUGGGGUGCUCGAGUGGCGAACGGGUGAGUAACACGUGAGUAACCUGCCCUUGACUUUGGGAUAACUUCAGGAAACUGGGGCUAAUACCGGAUAGGAGCUCCUGCUGCAUGGUGGGGGUUGGAAAGUUUCGGCGGUUGGGGAUGGACUCGCGGCUUAUCAGCUUGUUGGUGGGGUAGUGGCUUACCAAGGCUUUGACGGGUAGCCGGCCUGAGAGGGUGACCGGCCACAUUGGGACUGAGAUACGGCCCAGACUCCUACGGGAGGCAGCAGUGGGGAAUAUUGCACAAUGGGCGGAAGCCUGAUGCAGCAACGCCGCGUGCGGGAUGACGGCCUUCGGGUUGUAAACCGCUUUCGCCUGUGACGAAGCGUGAGUGACGGUAAUGGGUAAAGAAGCACCGGCUAACUACGUGCCAGCAGCCGCGGUGAUACGUAGGGUGCGAGCGUUGUCCGGAUUUAUUGGGCGUAAAGGGCUCGUAGGUGGUUGAUCGCGUCGGAAGUGUAAUCUUGGGGCUUAACCCUGAGCGUGCUUUCGAUACGGGUUGACUUGAGGAAGGUAGGGGAGAAUGGAAUUCCUGGUGGAGCGGUGGAAUGCGCAGAUAUCAGGAGGAACACCAGUGGCGAAGGCGGUUCUCUGGGCCUUUCCUGACGCUGAGGAGCGAAAGCGUGGGGAGCGAACAGGCUUAGAUACCCUGGUAGUCCACGCUGUAAACGGUGGGUACUAGGUGUGGGGUCCAUUCCACGGGUUCCGUGCCGUAGCUAACGCUUUAAGUACCCCGCCUGGGGGGUACGGCCGCAAGGCUAAAACUCAAAGGAAUUGACGGGGCCCCGCACAAGCGGCGGAGCAUGCGGAUUAAUUCGAUGCAACGCGUAGAACCUUACCUGGGUUUGACAUGGAUCGGGAGUGCUCAGAGAUGGGUGUGCCUCUUUUGGGGUCGGUUCACAGGUGGUGCAUGCCUGUCGUCAGCUCGUGUCGUGAGAUGUUGGGUUAAGUCCCGCAACGAGCGCAACCCUUGUUCACUGUUGCCAGCACGUUAUGGUGGGGACUCAGUGGAGACCGCCGGGGUCAACUCGGAGGAAGGUGGGGAUGACGUCAAGUCCUCAUGCCCCUUAUGUCCAGGGCUUCACGCAUGCUACAAUGGCUGGUACAGAGAGUGGCGAGCCUGUGAGGGUGAGCGAAUCUCGGAAAGCCGGUCUCAGUUCGGAUUGGGGUCUGCAACUCGACCUCAUGAAGUCGGAGUCGCUAGUAAUCGCAGAUCAGCAACGCUGCGGUGAAUACGUUCCCGGGGCU
This 1346-nucleotide ribosomal RNA is filed under the name uncultured bacterium. Its description in RNAcentral is "bacterial SSU rRNA". It matches the Rfam family "Bacterial small subunit ribosomal RNA", at positions 28 to 1381 of the family's 1533-position model. The record is from RNAcentral.